Dermochelys coriacea (leatherback sea turtle) is the source of this 1763-nucleotide long non-coding RNA. RefSeq lists it as uncharacterized. NCBI's taxonomy places the organism in Eukaryota, Metazoa, Chordata, Testudines, Dermochelyidae. The transcript has 3 exons. The record is from RefSeq and is a predicted model, not a curated record.
ACCCUCCCACACAGUACAGUAACUUAUAUACAUACCUGGAGGAAGGAAUGCUUUGCUUUGGGCUUCUUAAAAAUAUUUGGUGAUGGCUGCACCCUCCAACAUGCUCAUAGGACCGGACACUGAUGCACCCACAAAGGCGGGCCUAGACGAGCAUCUGCUAAAGGCUACUCGGAGGUUCAGGAUUCUAGUCAAUGGAACAAGAGGAAGACUCCAGUGCCUGUAAGACCAGAAUGGUAUUACUGGAGGGGGCCCUCAACAGAUUCCUCUAUCACCCAGCUUCUCCACUUUUGCUCCCUGCAAUGCAUAAGAUGAGCACUCAUGUCAAAUGCAGAAUGGGAAGAGCUAGCAUGCAGGGCACGAAGCACAGGAAUCAGCAUGAGUCUGCCCAGCCAUAGCAGAAGAAUCUGCCCAAGUGCUUGCUAGAUGGAGUGGCCACUCUCUUCUGCCACAUGCAGUCCAUCAGAGACCAGAAGGGAGGUAGCAGGGUCUGUUGAUAUAAACAUGAAGGAGCAUUUUGUGUACCAGAGGGUUUUGUACUAGUGCCCAUCAAAAUCAUUGUCUAUGUCCCAGUUAUUUAGAUUGGCAUAUGCAACUGUGUGUCUUGCAUGUGCCUAGCACUCUGCAGGUAAUAUGACAGGUUAGAAUGAAUCAGCUAGUGGCAAUACAUUGCUGAUGGCUUUGAAAAUGUAUCUCCAGGACUAUGUGGUCUAGGGUGACCACCCAACCUUUAUUUUAAGAUGUAUUGAAAUGUAUUAAAACUGAUAAUGUGCCAUUUUAAACAUUAAAUUAAUACUUAUGAUGAUUGUAUUGUAUACUUGAGGGCAGUAGAAAUGCACACUUGAGAGAAAAAUACAUGAUAUGCUAAGGGAAAUGGUGUUUCCCUAAAACGUCCCUUAGACUGUACUUUAUGUAUCAUGUGGUUUUCUCUUAUUCCCAUCUGACAAAGGUGGUCACCCUAUGCAGUCCUUAUUUUGUGAUAGGUUUAGGAAUGCAAAGGCAUGAAUGAAGAAUCCAAUGCACAUAUAGAGAAUGCGUUAUUAUGCAUCCCAUUAUUACAUCAGUAUUUUUAUGUGUGUAUAAAAUAGAUAUAAUAUUAUGAUUAAAAUUAUGGGAAAGGAUCAGAUUUUAACUGAAUGAAGCAAGAUAAUUCAAAGUGUAAGUCACUCAUUUGUGCCCGGAGCUGAUAUAGUUUGUGUUCUGUCAGGUCAUCCAUUAUGCCCCGGGCUCCUAAUACCAGGCUUUACUACUAGGUUGAAAUACUUAAGUGUGAUGGGAGAGAUGGAGGGGGAGGGGCCAAGUUGUGAAGUUGACCCCACCUGGUAAUUCUAAACUCAGAGAGUGUGCAGGAUCAGGCACAUAGUACUGUGACCGACAACAUUCUCUUAAAGCAACCAUGUCAACCUCUUUUAAAUCCAACAUUUUGUUUAGUUUUAAAACAAAAAGAGUGUCUGCAGAAGGGCUACAUGCUCUGACAGGAAAAGGCAUGUUCUCCUGAUUUAAAAAAAAAGAAAUUAAAACCAUUUCUUUUUCAUAUUAAAAUGUUUAUGUGUGAUGUUAGAAAGCCAAACGCAACAGAUUUGUACUUGUAGAUGAUGGUGAGGAGGUGAAAAUAGCUAAACAGUGAAAAUGACCGGCUGAUUUUCACUGGCCAAGCUGAGUGAAAUGGGACAAGUAAAAUAAAUAACAUACGGGGUGAGAUAUCACAUUAGAUUUAUUUAAUACUUUCAGUUUUGAUCAUCUAAGAUACUAUUAGCCACAAAGGU